This 2382-nucleotide ribosomal RNA is filed under the name Triticum aestivum (bread wheat). RNAcentral's name for it is "partial small subunit ribosomal RNA". Lineage: Eukaryota; Viridiplantae; Streptophyta; Magnoliopsida; Poales; Poaceae. The record is from RNAcentral.
AUGCUGCCCGACGGCGGCGGCGACGACGAGGAGCGCUGGCUCGCCGAGGGCAUCGCCGGCGUCCAGCAGAACGCCUUCUACAUGCACCGCGCCCUCGACUCGAACAACCUCAAGGACGCGCUCAAGUACUCGGCGCAGAUGCUCUCGGAGCUGCGCACCUCCAGGCUCUCCCCGCACAAGUACUACGAGCUAUACAUGAGGGCGUUCGACGAGAUGCGGAAGCUGGAGAUGUUCUUCAGGGAGGAGACCCGCCGGGGGAGCUGCUCCGUGGUUGAUCUCUACGAGCUUGUUCAGCAUGCUGGCAACGUAUUGCCGAGACUUUAUCUGCUCUGCACAGUAGGAUCUGUGUACAUUAAAUCGAAAGAGGCUCCCGCUAAAGAUGUUCUGAAAGACCUUGUUGAAAUGUGUCGAGGCAUUCAACAUCCUCUUCGUGGACUUUUCCUAAGAAGUUACCUCUCUCAGAUAAGCCGAGACAAGCUACCUGAUAUUGGUUCAGAGUAUGAAGGGGAUGCUGAUAGCAUUAAUGAUGCAGUUGAAUUUGUUCUUCAGAAUUUCAUAGAAAUGAACAAACUCUGGGUCCGGAUGCAGCAUCAGGGGCCUGUUCGGGAGAAGGACAAGCGGGGGAAGGAAAGAAAUGAACUGCGUGAUCUGGUAGGCAAAAACCUUCACGUUCUAAGCCAAAUCGAAGGCGUUGACCUUGAAAUGUACAAAGAGAAUGUUCUUCCAAGGAUAUCAGAACAGGUAGUUAAUUGUAAGGACGAUCUUGCACAGUUCUACCUGAUGGACUGCAUAAUCCAAGUCUUUCCAGAUGAAUACCAUCUACAGACAUUGGAAACAUUGUUGAGCGCAUUUCCCCAGCUACAGCCAAGUGUUGAUAUCAAAACGGUGCUAUCUCAACUCAUGGACAGAUUGUCAAACUAUGCUGCCACAAGUCCUGAAGUACUGCCGGAGUUUUUGCAAGUUGAAGCUUUUGCGAAGUUCAGCAAUGCUAUUGGAAAGGUGAUAGAAGCUCAAGUUGACAUGCCGGUUGUUGGAGCAGUAACUUUAUAUGUAUCACUCCUCACAUUUACUCUCCGUGUGCAUCCAGAUCGGCUUGAUUAUGUUGACCAAGUGCUGGGUGCAUGCGUGAAGAAACUUUCUGGCAAGGAAAAACUUGAAGAUAGCAGAGCAACAAAGCAAAUUGUUGCACUUCUUAGUGCUCCCCUGGAGAAAUAUAGUAAUAUUGUUACUGCAUUGGAGCUUUCAAAUUAUCCCCGGGUUAUGGAUUAUCUGGAUAAUGCUACAACGAAAGUGAUGGCUCUGGUAAUAAUUCAAAGCAUAAUGAAGAACACAACCUGCAUAUCUACUUCCGACAAGAUCGAGGCUCUUUUUGAUUUGAUUAAGGGCCUUAUAAAAGAUAUGGAUGGGGCUCAAGAUGACGAGCUUGAUGAAGAGGAUUUUAAGGAGGAGCAGAAUUCUGUAGCACGCCUUAUUCACAUGUUGCACAAUGAUGAUCACGACGAGAUGUUGAAGAUCUUAUGUACUGUUCAGAAGCAUAUACUUCAGGGAGGUCCCAAGCGUCUACCUUUCACUGUGCCGUCCUUAGUAUUCUCCGCUCUCAAGUUGGUCAGACGAUUACAAGGUCAAGAUGGAGAUGUCACUGGGGAGGAAGUUCCCGCAACUCCUAAGAAGAUAUUUCAGAUCUUGCAUCAGACCAUUGAAGCACUCCAAUGUAUUCCUUGCCCAGAAUUGUCUCUCAGACUAUAUCUACAAUGCGCAGAGGCUGCCAAUGAUUGUGAUUUGGAACCGGUUGCUUAUGAGUUCUUUACUCAAGCAUUCAUCUUAUAUGAAGAAGAAAUAGCGGAUUCUAAGGCUCAAAUUACUGCACUUCACCUAAUAAUUGGAACCCUUCAGCGGAUGAAUAUAUUUGGGGUGGAAAAUAGAGACACCCUCACUCAUAAGACAACAGGGUACUCAGCAAAACUUCUAAAGAAGCCUGAUCAAUGCCGGGCAGUCUAUGCAUGUUCGCACCUUUUCUGGACUGAUGACCAAGAUGGAAUCAUGGAUGGUGAAAGGGUCCUCCUUUGCUUAAAGCGUGCCUUGAGAAUUGCAAAUGCUGCUCAACAAAUGGCCAAUGUAUCAAAGGGAAGCAGCGGAUCUGUCAUUCUAUUCAUUGAAAUUUUGAACAAGUAUCUGUACUUCUUUGAGAAAGGAAUUCCACAAAUCACGAACACUGUCAUCCAAGAUUUGAUCGAACUGAUCAGGACAGAGAAGCAAAAUGACAGCAGUGCAUCUGAUCCAUCUGCCGAAGCUUUCUUUGCAAGCACUCUACGAUACAUCGCAUUCCAGAAGCAGAAAGGUGGAAGCAUAGGAGAAAAGUAUGAACAGAUAAAAGCUUCGUAA